This 68-nucleotide transfer RNA is filed under the name Nototeredo knoxi. Its description in RNAcentral is "tRNA-Leu". It matches the Rfam family "tRNA". From Rfam's summary of the family: Transfer RNA (tRNA) molecules are approximately 80 nucleotides in length. Their secondary structure includes four short double-helical elements and three loops (D, anti-codon, and T loops). Further hydrogen bonds mediate the characteristic L-shaped molecular structure. tRNAs have two regions of fundamental functional importance: the anti-codon, which is responsible for specific mRNA codon recognition, and the 3' end, to which the tRNAs corresponding amino acid is attached (by aminoacyl-tRNA synthetases). tRNAs cope with the degeneracy of the genetic code in two manners: having more than one tRNA (with a specific anti-codon) for a particular amino acid; and 'wobble' base-pairing, i.e. permitting non-standard base-pairing at the 3rd anti-codon position. The record is from RNAcentral. Lineage: Eukaryota; Metazoa; Mollusca; Bivalvia; Myida; Teredinidae.
GUCGAGGUAGUAAAGAACUAAUACGUCGGACUUAAAAUCCGGAGGCGGGGUUAUGGCCCCCUUCGAUA